UACGGGGGGGGCAAGCGUUGUUCGGAAUUACUGGGCGUAAAGGGCUCGUAGGUGGCCAACUAAGUCAGACGUGAAAUCCCUCGGCUUAACCGGGGAACUGCGUCUGAUACUGGAUGGCUUGAGUUUGGGAGAGGGACGCGGAAUUCCAGGUGUAGCGGUGAAAUGCGUAGAUAUCUGGAGGAACACCGGUGGCGAAGGCGGCGUCCUGGACCAACACUGGCACUGAUGAGCGAAAGCCAGGGGAGCAAACGGG
Molecule: ribosomal RNA, 253 nt
Filed under: uncultured bacterium
Lineage: Bacteria
Description: partial 16S ribosomal RNA
Rfam family: Bacterial small subunit ribosomal RNA
Source: RNAcentral